Molecule: transfer RNA, 66 nt
Filed under: Auritibicen bihamatus
Lineage: Eukaryota; Metazoa; Arthropoda; Insecta; Hemiptera; Cicadidae
Description: tRNA-Asp
Source: RNAcentral
AAUGGAUUAGUUUAAAUUUAAAAUAUUAAUCUGUCAGAUUAAAAAUACUUAUUAAAGUAUUCUUUA